UACGAAGGGGGCUAGCGUUGUUCGGAAUUACUGGGCGUAAAGCGCGUGUAGGCGGGCUUUUAAGUCAGGGGUGAAAUGCCAAGGCUCAACCUUGGAACUGCCUUUGAUACUGGAAGUCUUGAGUCCGGGGAGAGGUGAGUGGAACUGCGAGUGUAGAGGUGAAAUUCGUAGAUAUUCGCAAGAACACCAGUGGCGAAGGCGGCUCACUGGCCCGGAACUGACGCUGAGACGCGAAAGCGUGGGGAGCAAACAGG
RNAcentral lists this ribosomal RNA (254 nucleotides) under uncultured bacterium. RNAcentral describes it as "partial 16S ribosomal RNA". It matches the Rfam family "Bacterial small subunit ribosomal RNA", at positions 524 to 776 of the family's 1533-position model. The record is from RNAcentral.